UAUAUUUUAUAUAAGAUAAUAAUGGUAAACUGUAUUUUUUGAACAAUUAAUUGUAUUUAUUAAAUUAUUAUUAGUUAAUCACAAAAUGAUAUAUUUAUUAUUAAAUUUUAAUAUAUUUUUAAUAAACAUAAAAUUUAAAUACUUAAAUUUUUGAAAUAAGGGAGUAGAAAAUAAGAAAUAAAAAAUAGAUAGAUAUAACUAAUUUAAUAAAUUUUAAGAGAAUAAGUUAGAAAUGGUAAAAAAUAAAAUAUAAGAACAAAUAGUCAUUUAGACAUUUAGCAAUAAAUAUUUUCUUUAUAUAUAAAGAAAUGUUUUACUCCCUCCUGAGGCUAUCCAAAGAAGCUGCAAUGUCACUAAUUCAUGUCUCUCCAGCUUGACACGUGGACUCUUCAAAGAGCGUGUUAUUCACUUUGAUUUUUCUUUUAACCUAACCAACCUUUGCCGUUCCGCAUCCUCUUCCCAAACGAUCCAACUGAGAAACGCCAGUCUUUAUGGAAUUGAAACCUCAAUACCCACUACUUCAUCUUCAAUGCUUCGUUACUUCUUCUUCGAGUUUGCACAUAGAGUAUAUAUAGAGGAUUUGAGCGUCUUCACAGUCAUCGAUUUGAUUCGCCUUCAAUCGCAUAACCCCAAAGCUCUCUCACCAAUAUCCGAUAAUGGCUAAUCAACAGCGCCUAUUCUCAGAGUUAAGAUAGGCCGUUGUAUAAAUUGGGUUGUGACAAGGCUCCUUCGGUUUAGGGAAGCUCACAAUGUCAAGAAAAGAGAUCCUUCUUGCAAAUUGAUGGAAAGAUAUUCAGAACUUGACAGUUCUUUCCGGACCUUUCACUCUGGAAACGGUAGCUUCCCGUCAUGGUGAAUUGUAAAACCCACUCGAGAAUUGGGAUGGUACGUACUGAUCAUGAACUAGAAGCUAUCAGGCAGCGAAGAAUGCAAGAGUGAUGGUUCAACAUAGCACUGUAACUUCUAAUUUCUAAUAGCGUUCAUGGGAAUCAUGCAAUCAUCAGAAUCCGGAUCAAGAGAGAGCACAAGAAGAUGCUAAAAAUUGUGUUAAUUUGCUGACUAUUAGCUGAAAAAUAAACUCUGUAUUGAGCUAAACUACUCUCUGAUUGGAACCUAUGUUUAGGGAAGAUGAUGAGCGUAUGUUUAGGGAAGCUGAUGAAUGUGUUUACAGAUCCAGAGACGUCGUGCGUACGCUAUUUCGUGUCUUCUCAUUCAUUUUUACUUGAACUCUUCUGUGACCUUAUCAUCACUGCGAUAGUUAUACUCUGACUUUGCAUCUUCUGCAAAAGUUAGAGUAGCUGAAAAAAUAACAGUCGUCUCCAUCAACGGCAGAGAGAGAAAGAAAGGCAGAGGAAUACAGAAACCGUAGCUUAUUAUACUCGAGAUCUUUAAGAGUGUGAUCGUACAGAGUUAGAGAAGAGAAGUACAUGAGUGUUGUUGAUCUUUCUCAUCCACCAUUAAGUAAUAGAGGAUAUAUUUGAGUUCCAUAGAUGAUAAAAUAACAUUUCUUAGUUAAAACUAUUGAAUCGCCUUAUGUCACAUGUAUUCAACCUAUGUCAUUAGACUAACUUUAUAAGGCGGUUUCACUAUUUUCAGGGUAGUUAAUUUCCUUUUGGUCAACAAACAAGAAGAUAACUAAUCAAAAGUGAGUUAAAAAAAAAACUUAUCAAAAGUAAGAAAAUAAAUUAUCAUAAUUAAUUAUAUUUAGUUAAAAUGAUAUAUAUCAAAUUUUAAUCGGUCAAUUAUUGGUGUAUUGCAUUUUUAGAACCUUUGUGCAUAAAAAAAAAUUACAUGAAUCAAGAUAGCUAAUCAAAAUUUUCAUAAAUCAAACAACGUUUAUUUUAUGUAUACUUUAGCUUUGAAAUUGUUUUAUAAUUCACAUCCCGCUCGUAGGGCGGGCCGACCCUAGUAAAUUAAAUAAAAUAUUGGAGAAAAGCAUGGUCAAACGUGAACGUAUGUGGUACCGUUGACUUAAUUUAACCAAAUAAGCUAGAUUUACAUGCACAAAAUUAUGUUACAAACACAAUAUAAAUUUAGUAUGAGGCACGCGACCCACCCUUGAUUCAAGUAGAUCUGCCCCUUCUUGUAAACCAAAAUCAUCGUUUAAUUCUCUCAUAGAUGAAAAAACCCUUCUUCACAAAUUCUUUCUUUCUGUUUAUUUACAAUAAACGGGUAUUCUAUUAUUCAUGUUUGAGGUGGUCUAUAGAACUAGAUCGGAAUAGAAUAACCAAUAACACAAAGCUUUCUAUUCUAUUUUGUGCUCUUAGGAUGUGAGAGAUCUUGAAAUCUGGAAAACAUAGUUAAAAUUUCUAGUCUUGGCUAUCUAAUUUAUCAAGACUUUAUCGCCUCCAAUUUUGUUGCGAAACUUGGCCAUGCAUGAGGCUCAUUUAAUCAUGCAAUUAGAUCCUUGCAAUCCAUCCUAAAUCUCUGACUUGUCGAAUGUUCGAGCAUACUCUCCAUAGGGCAUUGCAGUGCUUCCACUUCUAAAUACAAAACAGCAUCUCGCCGUCUUAAGUUCCCUGUCCCCAAAAGUUGAAACUUCCAAAAGUUGAAACUUCCACAAGUUGUCCAUCCAUAACCGUCCGCAUCCAAUGAACUGAGCUGUAGAGGUCCAUGAGCCAAUAACAUGCACAUAUUACCCAAACUUAAGAAUUGUGGUUCCUCAAUGGGAAGUUCUUGUGGAGAUGAAGACACCAUCUUAUUUGCAUUGAACCAAGCUUGACAUUCGCUUUCGACAUGUUGGACUAGCUCCAAAUAAUCACUGUAUAUCCCUCUAAAAAGUUUAUCAUUUCAAGCAUUCCAGAUAUACCAGAUUAUCUAGGGAUAAAGGUCAUUAUCAAAUUAUGGUUUCUCAAUAUUGUUCUUCCUCCAGAAAAAAAUAAUAUGUAUUGGUAUAAAUGCUCAGUAACGGAAUGAUGUCAGGGUUAGAUGGGGUGCUGAUAAACUGUUCACCAUCAGAGCUUGCAUCGCCUCUGGAGGAGCCUGCGUCUGAUCCAUUGGAUCCCAAUUCCCAAAAUUCAUACGUCUUUCAAAUCCUUUGUUUCAUCGUCAUCACACAAGUCUAAGCAACGCGCACCGCUUGGUCUUUUCCCUGGUAUCAAGAGACCCAUAUCCGAAGGAGGAAAAACUCGGAAAAACUGCCAUCCUCCAAAAAGUCUAUGCCGUCAGUGGAACCCUGACUGCAUCCUACGUGAAUCUCUAAGCCCCAAUGGCUGACUUGCAAACUAAGACCUCUUUUCCAUUGUCUUUAAAACAGAGUUUGAACGCCAUGGAGUCCAACGAGCCACCAGGACAGCUGAUCUCCCAUAGAGGUCCGCUGCUUCAUGCACCUUUUUGGAAACAUAGAGGGGAAAGAGAGAUGUGGUAAUAUUUAACCCACAUCCAAAAGAGGUAAAAUUUAAUUUAAAAUUUUAAAACAGAAAAAAAAAGAAAAACUAAAAACUAAAAUCUAAAUCACCAUUCAAGUUUUUCAAAAACCUAAAAUCUACAAUCAAAAACAAAAAUUUUAAUUAAAAAAAUCUUAACAUUAGAAAACAAAAUCUAAAAAUUAAAAACAAAAACUAAAAUUCGAAAACCAAACAAACAAUCAUUACCUUAGUUUCUCAUAACCUUAUUCUUAUAAAGACUCAUCCAAACAUAUUACUUUCAAAAGCGAUAUACUCUUCCCUUUUUACUGAAAAAUAUACUUAAGGCAGAGACGGUUGUAGACUUUUUUUUUGUGAGCAACAUAACAGACUCUUUAUGACUCUGCAAACCAAACUGGUAACCCCGUAUUCAUGUGAAUUACAAAAGACAACUAUUUUCUAGCACAUCGUGCGAGACUGUCCGCCCUUGUAUUUUGCAUUUGUGGUACAUUUACAACUUUUGAGUGAUUAAAACUUCUUUUGAGGAUCGGGAUAUCUUUUAAAUAAAUUGCAAAAACAUGCCAUUUUUCUGAAUUCGGCAUCAUAUUCACCAAUUGAAAAUAAUCUGUUGCAAUCGUCACUUGAAACUAGCGUAAAUUCCUCAUACUUUCCAUUGUCCAGAUAAGAACCUCUAUAAACAUAAUGUAAGAAAAAGUUUACGUAAGACAUCGCUAAUUUUUACAAUCAGCUACUGAUUGUUUCUUCACCAUGAUCAAUGACUUGUUUGACUAACGAGAGGAAAUCAAUUAAAUGAUGACUAUUACAUACUCUUACUUAUUGAGGGCAUGAAAAGACAAACAUGAAUUAAUGUCACCAGUUGCAACUAAGUUCCUUUGUAAUUUCCUGGAAAUUGCAAAUGAACAAGAUAGUGUGAGUGGCUUUCUUUUUCUAUGUAAGCUUUAUUAUUUUGUCAAAUAAAAAUGUUCAUUCUUGGUUGUUUUGGACGAAUAUGGGCUAAGUCUUCUGUAUAGUUGACUCUGUCAAUUCAUUCAGUGAGGUUUCUUUUUUCAUAUUAUAUUUUGUAAUCCUAAGUAAUCCACUUUAAACAAAAAUUCAAAUAUGUGACAAAUACCAUAUUAUAAAAAGCUUAUACUAACAACAAGAAAAUCAAUAAUCAUCAACUUUUUUUAUUUUCUUAUCUAUUAUUUUAUUCAUCUCAUUAUAUGAAUAGCCAAAAACGAUAUAACGACAUAAAUAUUUGAUUGUUAACAUGUUUUACACUUGAUUUAGUUUGAGUUAGGGAUUUAUUAAAAAUGUUACCAACCAUCGUAUAGUUAUAAAUUUUUUAGUUUUUGUUUGAAUUAUAAUGUGGUAAAGUUGAGUUAUAAUUUUGAGUUGUCUCCUUUACAAAAUAAACAAAUCAAAUGUUAAAUCAACAUCAAAGAAAAUUGCAUCUAUUAGAGUUUGAACUAAAUUGGGUUAGUAUUUUAUUGUUUAGUUAUCUACGUUUGUUUUUUCUUAAGUUUUGUAAAGAAACUUAUCAGCUUAUGAAACAUAGCAAUUGUCCAACAUUUACUUUUGAUUAAUUAAUAAAUAUUCUCAACAAUUGUAUACACCUAUUUAUUUGUUAGUCAAACUUUCUACAAACUUUAUUAUUUCCAUUUAAAUUAUUUAAACAAAAUUGUUUUAUAAUUUAAAUUAUUUAAACAAAAUUGUUUUAUAAUUUAAAUUGUCUAAUUAUUUUGGUCAUUAAAAUUUACAUGCGUAAAAUUAUAUGUUUAUAUGUGUUUUUUGUUAUUAUAUAUAUAUAUGUAUAUUGCAAUAAUUUUAACUAAUAUGUUCAAAUUUUCUCUAUAUAUUUUUCUUAUUAAAUCAUUAACACCUGUUAUUAAUUUAUUUAAGUUUUUCGUUAUUUUAAAUAAUACUUACUACAGUUUAUAAAGUAAAAAGGUUACCAAUCAAUUAUAGUACUAGUAAUUAUAUUUCUGUAAAAAAUAGAUAUUGCAACUUUUUACAAGAUUAUAUUUUAUACAUAUUACAAAUUUCUUCUAAUAUAGUUUAAUAUAUUAUUUUUUUCUUACAAAUAUUUCAUUAUUUAUAUAUUAUAAUUUUAAUUAUUUCAUCAUUACUACAACUUAUACAUCAAAUAAGUUAUCAGUCAUCGAUUUUAAGAAAUGUUAAUUUUUACUCUUAUUUUUAAUGCAAACUUACUACAUAAAUACAAAGCUUCUACCACCUAAAUUUUACUACAAGUUAUAUUGAAUUACAUACAUACUGCAGCUAAAUUUUAAUAGUACAUGUCACCAUUCGGAAUUAAAAAAAAAAAAGAAAGAAAAUCACACAUGUAUCUCAACAAAAA
Long non-coding RNA from Brassica napus (rape), 5703 nucleotides. RefSeq lists it as uncharacterized. The transcript is spliced from 3 exons. Lineage: Eukaryota; Viridiplantae; Streptophyta; Magnoliopsida; Brassicales; Brassicaceae. The record is from RefSeq and is a predicted model, not a curated record.